GGCUCAAACGACGGAUGGAUGUUUCUGAAAGGAGGCAGUCCUACGGGACAUCCGUCGAGGUGCUGCAUGGUUGUCGUCAGCUCGUGCCGUGAGGUGUCGGCUUAAGUGCCAUAACGAGCGCAACCCCCAUCGCCAGUUACCAGCAAGUAAAGUUGGGGACUCUGGCGAGACUGCCGGCGCAAGCUGUGAGGAAGGCGGGGAUGACGUCAAAUCAGCACGGCCCUUACGUCCGGGGCGACACACGUGUUACAAUGGCAGGUACAGAGAGAAGCGAUGCGGCGACGCAGAGCGGAACUUCAAAGCCUGUCUCAGUUCGGAUUGGAGUCUGCAACCCGACUCCAUGAAGCUGGAUUCGCUAGUAAUCGCGCAUCAGCCACGGCGCGGUGAAUACGUUCCCGGGCCUUGUACACACCGCCCGUCAAGCCAUGGAAGCCGGGAGUGCCUGAAGUGUGCAACCGCAAGGAGCGCCCUAAGGUAAAACCGGUGACUGGGGCUAAGUCGUAACAAGGUAGCCGUACCGGAAGGUGCGGCUGGAUCACCUCCUU
This 545-nucleotide ribosomal RNA is filed under the name uncultured bacterium. RNAcentral's name for it is "bacterial SSU rRNA". It matches the Rfam family "Bacterial small subunit ribosomal RNA", at positions 978 to 1532 of the family's 1533-position model. The record is from RNAcentral.